Molecule: non-coding RNA, 21 nt
Filed under: Caenorhabditis elegans
Lineage: Eukaryota; Metazoa; Nematoda; Chromadorea; Rhabditida; Rhabditidae
Source: RNAcentral
UCACUCUAAAGGAAACUGAAC